GAUGAACGCUGGCGGCGUGCCUAAUACAUGCAAGUCGAGCGAACAGACGAGGAGCUUGCUCUUCUGACGUUAGCGGCGGACGGGUGAGUAACACGUGGAUAACCUACCUAUAAGACUGGGAUAACUUCGGGAAACCGGCGCUAAUACCGGAUAAUAUAUUGAACCGCAUGGUUCAAUAGUUAAAGACGGUUUUGCUGUCACUUAUAGAUGGAUCCGCGUCGCAUUAGCUAGUUGGUAAGGUAACGGCUUACCAAGGCGACGAUGCGUAGCCGACCUGAGAGGGUGAUCGGCAACACUGGAACUGAGACACGGUCCAGACUCCUACGGGAGGCAGCAGUAGGGAAUCUUCCGAAAUGGGCGAAAGCCUGACGGAGCAACGCCGCGUGAGUGAUGAAGGUCUUCGGAUCGUAAAACUCUGUUAUUAGGGAAGAACAAAUGUGUAAGUAACUAUGCACGUCUUGACGGUACCUAAUCAGAAAGCCACGGCUAACUACGUG
This 497-nucleotide ribosomal RNA is filed under the name uncultured bacterium. RNAcentral's name for it is "partial 16S ribosomal RNA". It matches the Rfam family "Bacterial small subunit ribosomal RNA", at positions 28 to 507 of the family's 1533-position model. The record is from RNAcentral.